AGGGGUGUAGCUCAGUUGGUAGAGCAAUGGUCUCCAAAACCAUGUGUCGGGGGUUCGAUUCCUCUCGCCCCUGCCA
Molecule: transfer RNA, 76 nt
Filed under: Rickettsiales bacterium
Lineage: Bacteria; Pseudomonadati; Pseudomonadota; Alphaproteobacteria; Rickettsiales
Description: tRNA-Trp
Rfam family: tRNA
About the family: Transfer RNA (tRNA) molecules are approximately 80 nucleotides in length. Their secondary structure includes four short double-helical elements and three loops (D, anti-codon, and T loops).
Source: RNAcentral